This 223-nucleotide ribosomal RNA is filed under the name uncultured bacterium. Its description in RNAcentral is "partial 16S ribosomal RNA". It matches the Rfam family "Bacterial small subunit ribosomal RNA", at positions 116 to 334 of the family's 1533-position model. The record is from RNAcentral.
CGUAGGUAACCUGCCUGGUAGCGGGGGAUAACUAUUGGAAACGAUAGCUAAUACCGCAUAAUAGCAGUUAUUGCAUGAUAACUGUUUGAAAGGUGCAAUUGCAUCACUACCAGAUGGACCUGCGUUGUAUUAGCUAGUUGGUGGGGUAACGGCUCACCAAGGCGACGAUACAUAGCCGACCUGAGAGGGUGAUCGGCCACACUAGGACUGAGACACGGCCCAG